This 390-nucleotide long non-coding RNA is filed under the name Homo sapiens (human). RNAcentral's name for it is "HSALNT0346250". Lineage: Eukaryota; Metazoa; Chordata; Mammalia; Primates; Hominidae. The record is from RNAcentral.
UACAGGCAUGAGCCACCGGGCCUGGCUGGGUUAACCUUUUAAAAUCUCCUGUCUCUCUCUGUGAAAAGUGGGGCUAAUAGUUGCAUCUUAGCAUAUGCCUGGCUGCCAUCUAGCAGUCAAUAAAUUUUAGGGUGAUGGAUGCUUACUCAACUUUAAAUUCUGUUGGAGUCUCUUGUUUCCCCCCCUCACCCACCAUUUCAAGCAGGUAACUCAAACUUGGAAAUAACAUGACACUUUUGAGAUUCAUAUUUUAUUUACAAGUAAAUGAAGACUGUCCCUGUAAACUCUAAUUUGGGAUAUGAAGAACAAUAUAAAGAAGUAGUUGCUGGUGCCACAGUGAUGUGUGAAGGAGUCUAUGCCACUGUUUCUUUAAACAGUGAUUUUGUUAUU